Molecule: small nucleolar RNA, 111 nt
Organism: Arabidopsis thaliana (thale cress)
Lineage: Eukaryota; Viridiplantae; Streptophyta; Magnoliopsida; Brassicales; Brassicaceae
Rfam family: Small nucleolar RNA snoR9
About the family: snoR9 is a member of the C/D class of snoRNA which contain the C (UGAUGA) and D (CUGA) box motifs. Most of the members of the box C/D family function in directing site-specific 2'-O-methylation of substrate RNAs.
Source: Rfam
AAGAAUGAGGAAGACGAUGACGAAUUGGAAGUUCCAGUGAUGUGAAAAACUCAGGUGAAAAAGACGAGUUGAAAAAAAGAUGUUUCGUAUUUCUUUUAAUGAUGAUGAAAU